GGUACACAUGCUUUUUAGAUAAGAUCUUAUCUCUGAGUUAGAGUAAACUGUCAAGACUUAAAACUUACUUACUUUACCUUUCACCAUGGGACUUGUAACUGUCACUUCUUUCUUGAGAGGUUAAAAGAUAGAACAGUCUAGUCAAGUGCCAUGUCUCUUAUUCUUGAUCAGCUAUAGCUCUGGGGUUUUUUUGCAGAUUUUCAAAUAAAACUCAGAGAUUCCUUGUAUGACUCUCUCAGAUCUCUCUUUUAUGGUAUUUCUGGAUCCUUACCAAGGCAGUGAUGGUAUAUGCCUUCUCUCAAGAUAUGUGGUAUUUAUGGUAUAAGGCAUAGUGACAUUGCCUUCUCUCUCACCCUACUCUAAUAAGGCUUUAAUAUCUGGAGCUCAUAGGUGGGAGAUAAAAUAUACAUACUUACAAGACAUUUAUUGCAUAGUCAAACCAUGGAUCCAAAGAAACAAAUCAAUAAGCCAAAUCAAGAUGUGCAUGUGUGGCGAAUGAAUGGUGAUUACAAUGGUGAAAACAAUGAUGGAAACAAUGGUGGUGGAAGUCUAAUUCUACUUCUUUUGAGGGGAUACAUACCUUCCUUGCUUUUUGAAACUUUAUGAAGAGAAUGAGAUGCUCUAUAUUUUUCUUUUCUCUCAGGUGGGUAUCUUGUACCCCUAAUUCUACUGUCGGACACUUGUCCAUUUUUACCUCUCGUCUCACUUUUUCUUUUCUUUCGAGGUUCCGAGCACUUGCUCCUUUUUAUUUCCUCGUAUUUUUCUUUUUUUUCUUUUCUCUCUUUUUUUUAGAGCACUCAUCUCUUGAGAUAAUAUAGCAAGUGGUAGUAACAAGAUAACUUGAGCAUUUAUUUCACAAGGAAGAACAAAAUUAUUUUUGGCUACUCUCUCCCGGAUUGGAAGUAGAAUAUUUUUGGGUGAUUCUGGAGAUGGAAAUGUAUGGAUAUAUGUGAAUGGUACUUCUGGAGUAGAAGUAGCAUGUGUGAGUGAACGUGCAAGUGAAUCUUGAUUUAACCACAUGACAAGCUCCCAAGGGUCUACACAGCUUGACCACACUCAAUGCUCAUAAGCAGUAAAAAGUAAAUGUGUGACUCGAAGUCUAGCAAGCAUGUAUAUAUGGCUGUGGUAGGAUUUUAAACUCUCAUCAUACAGGAACUCAUCAUGCAACAUUUUAAAGAUUUCCAAAGAUAAAAUUCUCCAGAAUUCUAGCAUCUCUAGAAACAGAUAAACAGCAACUCAACCUUCCCAUAUCGUAUCCGUUAACAACUUAGAUUUCAGAUCAAGUUUUCAUCCCACAAGUUUAAGUCUAGAGCAAGCUUUAAAUUAUAAUAGUUAUGUCUAAACUUGAGAGAGAACUUAAAAUGUGCAAAUUAGGCAGAGCAACUAUUCAUCAUUUCCAUGCUUGAGUUUUAUUUAGAUACAGAUUAGCAUAGCCACUUUAUUUAUCUAUUAAACACACUAAGCAAAAGACAUAUAUAUAUAAGCAUAAAAUCUUUAUUUAGUUUUUCAUAGUUAUGUAUAUUUAUAUUCUAAAAUAAUAUAAGUAUAAAGAUAGAUAGAUAGAAAUACUUAUCGAGAUAAAUGGGGGUGCUCUCCCCCAAGCUGAAUUUUGACGUAAUUUCUCUUGAUGUAGCUAGCAGGUUGCAGAGGUGUAUUUGAAAGUCAGCAGCAUUGUGACAGCGAUUAGAAUAUCCUCCGUCUGCCAGUCUUCUUGAUUCUUAGAUUCUGUGGAGCUCAAAUAGACAACAAAGCUUGUGGAACUGAUGAAGUGUUAGCAUAAAUAUCUAGCCUUUAUCAUGUUGAGACUCUUUAAUAAUUAUUACUCCCUGUUUUUAUAUUUUUAUUUUAUAAAGCAGAAAAAUAUUUUUAUUUUAUUUUUAUGCCACCACAGUGAAUGUACUUAUGGGUUUUAUGCCACUCGUAUCCUCACAUGGGGCUUACUGUUUUUCAUAUUUUUACUUUCUGUUUAGAACUUAAUUAACUAAGUGAACUACUUGAAAUAAUUAAAAGGGAAAGGAUAACUACCAAGUUUACCUCUUGGCAAGGCGUUCGGUGUUUUUAAGUCCUCCGAACGGGACUCUCCUCCUUCUCAAUUAUCCUGAGGUUCGUUGGGUGGCGUAGUCGGUACUUCCGGCAGCGCCUCCUCUUCAUGUAUAGUUAUCUUCAUUUUCCACACCUGACUUGGUGCUUCGGUCUCCUCUAGAUAAUUCUGUUUAAACUCAACGUCUUCUGACCUUACAACUUCUCCUUCGUAGUCUGCCCAUCCGUCCUUGAUGAUUUGCCUUCUCUGGUUGCGGUUGCGUCGUCUUCUUCUUGUCCUGACCUGCUUAGAAUCUUCAACUAUAUAGUUAGAAUCAUUAAAUUAAUGGCGUACCUUCUCAGAGGGGAAAUACACGUGGACUUCUCCGGUUCCAAUGUAGAUGAUAACUUUGAUAGUGUUGAGGAAUGGUCUUCCAAGGAUGAUGGGUGGAUCGUACUCGUCUUUUCCCAUGUCAAUGUUCUGAAAAUCAUCUGGAGCUAAAUAUAUAUUGGUUGUAGGGGCAUGGUUCCAUGCAGGAGCUGAUAAGUGACUGCAGCCAUUAUGUUGACGUUAGAUCCGGUGUCGUAGAGUGUUUUCUAAAAAGAGUAUCUGUUGGUUGUGCACUCGAUGCUUGGAACACCAGGGUCGUCCUUCUUGAUCAAGAAAGGUGACUUGAGUCGACGAUCUUGACCUCCUUGAGCUGUAGUGACCAUCUUAGCUGACUCGGUCCACAUUUGCUUGUUCCUGUUCCUCCUGUUGGUCCUCUUCCUUGGUUCAUGUCGGGAUUGCUCUGAAGUUUAUGUAGUCUUGUUCUUGAAGGAAAGUCUCCUUCUUCCCCUUGAUGUAGAGACUGAUCUUGGCAGCAUUAGCGUAGAUGACAGCUCCAGUGUUUAGGAAUGGCCUCCCUAAGAUGAUGGGUGCCCUCUCCUCAGUACCAGUCUCUAUCACCACAAAGUUUGCUGGAGCGUACAAGGUACCAACUUGGACACAGAGGUUCUUUAAUAUUUCCUUUGGGAAACUAAGUGUCUGAUCUCCAUUGUGUUUGUGCUCGUAGAUCCCGGUUCUUCACUUAAUGGAAUCUGGGAGUUGUAAAACGCCUUCACGUUUCUCAAAAUGUGUCCUGCUCAUAGAGACAAGGCAGAGAUCAAGUGCAUGGGCUAUGUUGGUGGAAAACACCAACAGAACCAAAAGUGUAUUUGUUCUUCUCUAACCUUAAGCAUAGUGAGCAAGACAAAGUUGAUGGAUAAUAAGAUCAUGAGUGUAGUAUUUGAAACAUUUGUCAGAUCAGAUGGCUCAACCUAAUGGAAAGAUAAUCUAUCUAUAUUUAUGUUUUGUUUAUCUCUUCCAAAUAUUGAAUGUGC
RNAcentral lists this long non-coding RNA (3381 nucleotides) under Sorghum bicolor (sorghum). Its description in RNAcentral is "long non-coding RNA (SBIC_LNC005206)". Lineage: Eukaryota; Viridiplantae; Streptophyta; Magnoliopsida; Poales; Poaceae. The record is from RNAcentral.